GACGAACGCUGGCGGCGUGCUUAACACAUGCAAGUCGAACGGUGAAAGCGGAGCUUGCUCCGCUGGAUCAGUGGCGAACGGGUGAGUAACACGUGGGCAACCUGCCCCUCACUUCGGGAUAACUCCGGGAAACCGGGGCUAAUACCGGAUAUGACCUCCUUGGGCAUCCUUGGAGGUGGGAAGUUUUUCGGUGAGGGAUGGGCCCGCGGCCUAUCAGCUUGUUGGUGAGGUAGUGGCUCACCAAGGCGACGACGGGUAGCCGGCCUGAGAGGGUGAUCGGCCACACUGGGACUGAGACACGGCCCAGACUCCUACGGGAGGCAGCAGUAGGGAAUCUUCCGCAAUGGACGAAAGUCUGACGGAGCAACGCCGCGUGAGUGAUGAAGGCUUUCGGGUCGUAAAACUCUGUUGUUAGGGAAGAACAAGUGCUAGUUGAAUAAGCUGGCACCUUGACGGUACCUAACCAGAAAGCCACGGCUAACUACGUGCCAGCCGCCGCCGUAA
Molecule: ribosomal RNA, 504 nt
Filed under: uncultured bacterium
Lineage: Bacteria
Description: partial 16S ribosomal RNA
Rfam family: Bacterial small subunit ribosomal RNA
Source: RNAcentral